Molecule: long non-coding RNA, 1027 nt
Filed under: Sus scrofa (pig)
Lineage: Eukaryota; Metazoa; Chordata; Mammalia; Artiodactyla; Suidae
Description: lncRNA (ENSSSCG00055020839.1)
Source: RNAcentral
GAAUGCACUUUAUCAAGCUGGUGCUUUUUAGGAGGCAGGCUGUGCUCAGGCCUGUGCUCUUUCUCGCUAGAGAUCUCCUCAUGCUUUUUUUUCCCCUCCCACCUGAGACUCUUCCUCCUCUGCCAGACACCUGUUCAGAGGAAGCUACCUGCAACUAGGUAACAUGAGUAAAGCCUGGGUGGUCCUUGGUUUCUAUCUGGGUCCCAGGGUGAAGGGUGCGCAUUGAUUCAGAGCCUGCUAAAAUGACUUACAAAGAUGGGUCAUUGACUUCAGGAUGUGGGCUGAGUAUAUGGGGUGACUGUGAAGAAUCUAUACUCCUGCCCCAUAGUGUAUUUCAGUGCGCCUGCGAGGAAGAGGAGUAAAGACAUCAUGCUGGCACGUGCACAGAUCAGUACAGACCAAACUUUUGCUGUGGGAGGCAGAGGAAGGGCUGAGAGUUGCUGUUAAUGCACGUGUCCACAAGAGAGCACCAGAUCACAGCACAGCCACCCUGCAGCUCCCUGUUUCUAUCUCCAGGCUCAGAAGGGGAUUAAAGUUGGACACAUGGAGAUGCCCAGAGCCUGCUGUUGUAUUCAUGGUGCCUCUGACCCUGUGGCCCAAUUUGCCUCGACUCAGUGAGAGAUCUCCACGAGCUUCAUCUUCCCUCUGCACCUGAGCUGCUUCAGCCUCUGCAGGACACCCAUUCAAAGGAAGCUCUCUAAAUCCAUGUACGGUGAAUCACGAAUCACGGCUGGGUUGUUUAGAUUUACAAGCAGAGUCAUGGGGAGGAAGGUUGCUGAUUCUAAGCCUGCUGUCCUGACUUAAAUAGGAGCGUUGCUGACUUCAGGCAGUGGCAGAAAGUUGGGUAUGGUGAGUGGCCUGGCCCACUGUGAGUAAGUCACUCCCAUGUGUAUUUGUGUGUCAUGAGAGGGAGAGGGGUAAGAACAUCACACUGACAAGUGUUCCAGGCCAGUGCAGGCCAAGGUUACUAUGUGGAGGCAGAGGAAAUGCUGAGAGUUGCUGUUAGAGCAGAUUAGCACCAUCUGGC